UUCGCAAUGCCCGAAAGGGUGACGAAGCGACGCCGCGUGCGGGAGGAAGGCCUUCGGGUUGUAAACCGCUGUCGGGAGUUAAGAAAUGCAAGGAUGUUAAUAGCGUUCUUGCUUGACUAAGGCUCCGGAGGAAGCCACGGCUAACUCUGUGCCAGCAGCCGCGGUAAUACAGAGGCGGCAAGCGUUGUUCGGUAUUAUUGGGCGUAAAGAGCACGUAGGUGGUUUUGUAAGUCAGAUGUGAAAGCCUUCUGUUCAAAGGAAGAACGGCAUCUGAAACUGCAGAUCUUGAGUGUAGGGGGGGAGAGUGGAACUUCUGGUGGAGCGGUGAAAUGCGUAGAUAUCAGAAGGAACGUCGGCGGCGAAAGCGACCCUCUGGCCUAUUACUGACACUGAGUGUGCGAAAGUUAGGGGAGCAAACGGGAUUAGAUACCCCGGUAGUCCUAGCCGUAAAUGAUGGGCACUAAGUAGAGGGGUUUU
This 477-nucleotide ribosomal RNA is filed under the name uncultured anaerobic ammonium-oxidizing bacterium. Its description in RNAcentral is "bacterial SSU rRNA". It matches the Rfam family "Bacterial small subunit ribosomal RNA", at positions 365 to 832 of the family's 1533-position model. The record is from RNAcentral.